Molecule: ribosomal RNA, 419 nt
Filed under: bacterium
Lineage: Bacteria
Description: partial 16S ribosomal RNA
Rfam family: Bacterial small subunit ribosomal RNA
Source: RNAcentral
UGGGGGAUAUUGCACAAUGGGCGAAAGCCUGAUGCAGCGACGCCGCGUGGGGGAUGAAGGCCGUCGGGUUGUAAACUUCUUUUGCUCUGAACAAGGCGCACCAUGGGGUGUGUUGAGUGUAGGGGUUGAUUAGCGCCGGCUAACUACGUGCCAGCAGCCGCGGUAAUACGUAGGGCGCGAGCGUUGUCCGGAAUUAUUGGGCGUAAAGGGCUUGUAGGUGGCUGGUUGCGUCUGUCGUGAAAGCUCAUGGCUUAACUGUGGGUUUGCGGUGGGUACGGGCUGGCUUGAGUGCAGUAGGGGAGGCUGGAAUUCCUGGUGUAGCGGUGGAAUGCGCAGAUAUCAGGAGGAAUACCGGUGGCGAAGGCGGGUCUCUGGGCUGUUACUGACACUGAGGAGCGAAAGCAUGGGGAGCGAACAGG